This 517-nucleotide ribosomal RNA is filed under the name uncultured Bacteroidales bacterium. RNAcentral's name for it is "bacterial SSU rRNA". It matches the Rfam family "Bacterial small subunit ribosomal RNA", at positions 185 to 701 of the family's 1533-position model. The record is from RNAcentral. Lineage: Bacteria; Pseudomonadati; Bacteroidota; Bacteroidia; Bacteroidales.
AAGGCAUCUUCUUGGGUUAAAAACUCCGGUGGUUAAAGAUGGGCAUGCGUUGUAUUAGCUAGUUGGUGAGGUAACGGCUCACCAAGGCAACGAUACAUAGGGGGACUGAGAGGUUAACCCCCCACAUUGGUACUGAGACACGGACCAAACUCCUACGGGAGGCAGCAGUGAGGAAUAUUGGUCAAUGGACGCAAGUCUGAACCAGCCAUGCCGCGUGCAGGAAGACAGCUCUAUGAGUUGUAAACUGCUUUUGUACUAGGGUAAACGCUCCUACGUGUAGGAGUCUGAAAGUAUAGUACGAAUAAGGAUCGGCUAACUCCGUGCCAGCAGCCGCGGUAAUACGGAGGAUCCAAGCGUUAUCCGGAUUUAUUGGGUUUAAAGGGUGCGUAGGCGGUUUGAUAAGUUAGAGGUGAAAUACCGGGGCUCAACUCCGGAACUGCCUCUAAUACUGUUGAACUAGAGAGUAGUUGCGGUAGGCGGAAUGUAUGGUGUAGCGGUGAAAUGCUUAGAGAUCAUA